RNAcentral lists this transfer RNA (73 nucleotides) under Gammaproteobacteria bacterium. RNAcentral's name for it is "tRNA-Lys". It matches the Rfam family "tRNA". Rfam says of the family: Transfer RNA (tRNA) molecules are approximately 80 nucleotides in length. Their secondary structure includes four short double-helical elements and three loops (D, anti-codon, and T loops). Further hydrogen bonds mediate the characteristic L-shaped molecular structure. tRNAs have two regions of fundamental functional importance: the anti-codon, which is responsible for specific mRNA codon recognition, and the 3' end, to which the tRNAs corresponding amino acid is attached (by aminoacyl-tRNA synthetases). tRNAs cope with the degeneracy of the genetic code in two manners: having more than one tRNA (with a specific anti-codon) for a particular amino acid; and 'wobble' base-pairing, i.e. permitting non-standard base-pairing at the 3rd anti-codon position. The record is from RNAcentral. Lineage: Bacteria; Pseudomonadati; Pseudomonadota; Gammaproteobacteria. RNAcentral also lists the same sequence under 5 other names.
GAGCCGGUAGCUCAGCUGGUAGAGCAACGGACUUUUAAUCCGUAGGUCCUGGGUUCGAUCCCCAGCCGGCUCA